RNAcentral lists this ribosomal RNA (293 nucleotides) under uncultured microorganism. RNAcentral describes it as "partial 16S ribosomal RNA". It matches the Rfam family "Bacterial small subunit ribosomal RNA", at positions 505 to 796 of the family's 1533-position model. The record is from RNAcentral.
GUGCCCGCCGCCCGGGUUAUACAGAGGGUGCCAGCGUUAAUCGGAUUUACUGGGGGGUAAAACCGCGCGUAGUGGGCCAUUAAGUCAAAUGUGAAAUCCCCGAGCUUAUCUUGGGAAUUGCAUUCGAUACUGGUUGGCUAGAGUAUGGGAGAGGAUGGUAGAAUUCCAGGUGUAGCGGUGAAAUGCGUAGAGAUCUGGAGGAAUACCGAUGGCGAAGGCAGCCAUCUGGCCUAAUACUGACACUGAGGUGCGAAAGCAUGGGGAGCAAACAGGAUUAGAUACCCUGGUAGUCC